Molecule: ribosomal RNA, 348 nt
Filed under: Triticum aestivum (bread wheat)
Lineage: Eukaryota; Viridiplantae; Streptophyta; Magnoliopsida; Poales; Poaceae
Description: partial small subunit ribosomal RNA
Source: RNAcentral
AUGUGUGCUAAUGUCGAUCUUGGAGUUCAUCUAAUAAAAGAGCAAUCUUGUUCCGAUCAUGUCCGUCUUAAUUUCAAUCCUUUUGAGAAGCCAACUGAACUGAAACGGAACUAUGCAUCGAAGUUCAUGAAUAAGGAGAUAUCUACUGUUCGCUUUGAUUAUGGAGUCUCAAUGGAGGAGGAUCCAGAUCCAGGGGGUAGUUGGGUACUGCGAAAUCAUUCAGUACAACUAAAGGAAGAAGUUGGUUCUACUGAGCCAAGAAACAUGUCUUCUCUUCAGUACGCAUGCUACACUGGUAUAAAUAAGCAUCUAUUUUUUUACUGUUGGUACAGCAGUUUACAUUGUUGA